GGCGAGGCGGUUACUGGCGCGAAGUACGACGCAGUUCGGUUUUCACCGAGAAAGAAGCGGCAGUCGGCGCGAUGGCGAAGGAAGAGGUGGAGGAGGAGGAAGAGGAGAAGAAAGAGAAGGAGACGGCGGCGGCAAUGGCAUCCGUGACUGGACACUGCAUAUGAUUUCACGAGAUAAAAAUUAAAUGAACUUCGAAAGAAACAAGGAACACGUGGACAAGAAACACGGUUGUCGAUCAAACGGUUGCAAAAAGGAAAAAAAGGAGAGCCCUUACAUAAAAAAAAUCCAGCCGAUGAGAAGACAAUUCCUUCAUUGGGAGAGAGGGAGGGAAAGAUCCGAAUAACAUCACUUCUUUUUCCGUCACUUCCCACGAGCCAUUCCCAUGCGAUGCAAAACUUGAGCGGGACGACUCAAGGCUGAAAGAUACCAGGUGCAUCGGCACCGUUCCGCUUGCAUCGCGACGGGUCUCAUUCCAGGCGAGAUGACGAAGCCAGUA
This is a long non-coding RNA of Acromyrmex echinatior (Panamanian leafcutter ant), 496 nucleotides long. The record is from RefSeq and is a predicted model, not a curated record. Lineage: Eukaryota; Metazoa; Arthropoda; Insecta; Hymenoptera; Formicidae.